GUGAAUUGGGUGGAAAUGGCCAAAGCCAUUGGAAAUGUUCCUACUGGGACCUUGCAGCAAAAGGUUUAUAAGCUAAAGUCUCGGCAUGUUCCUGACUGGCAAAAGCUGAGUUUUAAAGAAAUUGUGACUUAUAUGUACACGGAGCUUCUACC
This is a long non-coding RNA of Nanorana parkeri, 152 nucleotides long. RefSeq lists it as uncharacterized. NCBI's taxonomy places the organism in Eukaryota, Metazoa, Chordata, Amphibia, Anura, Dicroglossidae. The transcript has 3 exons. The record is from RefSeq and is a predicted model, not a curated record.